Molecule: unclassified non-coding RNA, 496 nt
Filed under: uncultured Glomus
Lineage: Eukaryota; Fungi; Glomeromycota; Glomeromycetes; Glomerales; Glomeraceae
Description: SSU rRNA
Rfam family: Eukaryotic small subunit ribosomal RNA
Source: RNAcentral
AGCAGCCGCGGUAAUUCCAGCUCCAAUAGCGUAUAUUAAAGUUGUUGCAGUUAAAAAGCUCGUAGUUGAAUUUCGGGGUUAGUAGUUUGGUCGUGCCAAUGGUAUGUACUGGGCUCACUGAUUCCUCCUUCCUGAUGAACUGUAAUGCCAUUAAUUUGGUGUUGCAGGGAAACAGGACUGUUACUUUGAAAAAAUUAGAGUGUUUAAAGCAAGCUAACGCUUGAAUACAUUAGCAUGGAAUAAUGAAAUAGGACGUUCGAACCUAUUUUGUUGGUUUCUAGGAUUGACGUAAUGAUUAAUAGGGAUAGUUGGGGGCAUUAGUAUUCAAUUGUCAGAGGUGAAAUUCUUGGAUUUAUUGAAGACUAACUACUGCGAAAGCAUUUGCCAAGGAUGUUUUCAUUAAUCAAGAACGAAAGUUAGGGGAUCGAAGACGAUCAGAUACCGUCGUAGUCUUAACCAUAAACUAUGCCGACUAGGGAUCGGAUGAUGUCAAUUU